UACGUAGGGGGCAAGCGUUGUCUGGAUUUAUUGGGCGUAAAGAGCGUGUAGGCGGCCUGACAGGUCUGCUGUGAAAACUCGAGGCUCAACCUCGAGAUGUCGGCGGAAACCGUCUGGCUAGAGUCCGGAAGAGGAGAGUGGAAUUCCCGGUGUAGCGGUGAAAUGCGCAGAUAUCAGGAGGAACACCAAUGGCGAAGGCAGCUCGCUGGGACGGUACUGACGCUGAGACGCGAAAGCGUGGGGAGCAAACAGG
This 253-nucleotide ribosomal RNA is filed under the name uncultured bacterium. RNAcentral describes it as "partial 16S ribosomal RNA". It matches the Rfam family "Bacterial small subunit ribosomal RNA", at positions 524 to 776 of the family's 1533-position model. The record is from RNAcentral.